GAUGAAAAAUGUACAAUGCCUACUUAAAUUUUCUUUUAGCAGUCAUUCUGCGUAUAAAUAAUUUAGCUAAACAAUGUAAAAUAGUUCACAAGAGUGACAAGAAACCAGCUUUGUUAAGAGCCCAUCUACUGCUAAUUCGUUACUUACUAGCCAUUGGUGCAAUACUAUUUUUGAGGAGACAUUAGCUUAUUUUCUUCAGAAUCAUGCUUCAUUGUAGCAUCUCCACCCAUUAAUUCCUGGAAUCCUUCGACUUUUACAGGGGGAGCCCUGGCCAUUCCCAUAUUCGGUGACUGCACUUGAGGAAUUUGAAGAGAAGACAUAGG
Molecule: unclassified non-coding RNA, 323 nt
Filed under: Hevea brasiliensis (rubber tree)
Lineage: Eukaryota; Viridiplantae; Streptophyta; Magnoliopsida; Malpighiales; Euphorbiaceae
Source: RNAcentral